RNAcentral lists this ribosomal RNA (440 nucleotides) under uncultured bacterium. Its description in RNAcentral is "partial 16S ribosomal RNA". It matches the Rfam family "Bacterial small subunit ribosomal RNA", at positions 338 to 795 of the family's 1533-position model. The record is from RNAcentral.
CCUACGGGUGGCAGCAGUGGGGAAUAUUGGACAAUGGGGGGAAGCCUGAUCCAGCGACGCCGCGUGAAUGAAGAAGUCUUUCGGUAUGUAAAGCUCUAUCAGCAGGGAAGAAAAUGAAGGUACCUGACUCAGAAGCCCCGGCUAACUACGUGGCAGCAGCCGCGGUAAUACGCAGGGGGCAAGCGUUAUCCGGAUUUACGGGGUGUAAAGGGGGCGUAGACGGUGCGACAAGUCUGAUGUGAAAGGUCGGGGCCAAACCCCGGGACUGCAUUGGAAACUGUUGGACUGGAGUAGAGGAGAGGUAGGCGGAAUGCGUAGUGUAGCGGUGAAAUGCGUAGAUAUUAGGAGGAACACCAGUGGCGAAGGCGGCUUACUGGACGGUAACUGACGUUGAGGCUCGAAAGCGUGGGGAGCAAACAGGAUUAGAUACCCGUGUAGUC